Molecule: ribosomal RNA, 198 nt
Filed under: uncultured bacterium
Lineage: Bacteria
Description: partial 16S ribosomal RNA
Rfam family: Bacterial small subunit ribosomal RNA
Source: RNAcentral
ACGCUCGACACCUACUGGAGGCAGCAGUGGGGAAUAUUGCACAAUGGGGGAAACCCUGAUGCAGCGACGCCGCGUGAGCGAAGAAGUAUUUCGGUAUGUAAAGCUCUAUCAGCAGGAAAGAAGAAAGACGGUACCUGACUAAGAAGCCCCGGCUAACUACGUGCCAACAGCCGCGGUAAUCUGAGCGGCUGGCAAGGC